CAGCCACUCAACUCUGCCUACGCAACAGCCAUAAAAGUGUCAAGGAACAAUCUUAAUUUCAAAAGUAAGCAGAGCUGAGAAGAAAGUGACCCAGCUGCACUGAGGGAUCCCCCUGAGGACUGGAGUGGCCUGCGCCAGACCCCAGGGCAGAAAACACUUGCACUGCACAUUAAACUGCAUAAUGAAUGAAGAGACCUGGGGAAGAGGCCACUCUAUAAACAGCAGCCGGGAUGGGCCCCGCCUGCUACCAGGACCCUCCUGGCCCCAGCACGGGACUCCUGCACAGAACUCUCUCCGCUCCUCCUUUGACUCGUGCGGAGAACUCCAUCCGCUCCCCUCUUGACUCCUGCAGGUAACUCCGUCCACUCCUCCCUCAACUCCUGCGGGUAACUCCGUCCACUCCUCCCUCAACUCCUGCGGGUAACUCCGUCCACUCCUCCCUCAACUCCUGCGGGUAACUCCGUCCACUCCUCCCUCGACUCCUGCAGGUAACUCCGUCCGCUCCUCCCUCAGCUCCUGCGGGUAAAUCCAUCCACUCCUCCCUCGACUCCUGUGGGUAACUCCGUCCACUCCUCCCUCAACUCCUGCAGGUAACUCCGUCCGCUCCUCCCUCGACUCCUGCAGAGAACUCUGUCCACUCCUCCCUCGACUCCUGCAGGUAACUCCAUCCGCUUCUCCCUCGACUGCUGCGGGUAACUCCGUCCACUCCUCCCUCAACUCCUUCAGGUAACUCUGUCCGCUCCUCCCUCGACUCCUGCGGGUAACUCCGUCCACUCCUCCCUCAACUCCUUCAGGUAACUCUGUCCGCUCCUCCCUCGACUCCUGCGGGUAACUCCGUCCACUCCUCCCUCGACUCCUGCAGGUAACUCCAUCCGCUCCUCCCUCAACUCCUGUGGGUAACUCUGUCCACUCCCCCCUUGACUCCUGCGGGUAACUCCGUCUGCUCCUCCCUCAACUCCUGCGGAGAACUCUCUCUGCUCCUCCCUUUUGGCUGUUGGGUUGCCCACCACAAAUAGCCGGCACCUUCCGCCCACCUGGCCACAGGCCCUUCCUCUGGGACUGGGCCUAGGACCCCAGCCUCGAGCUCCCACGAGUCCUCCUGGACCCUGGAGAGCACACCUGGGAACAAACACAACCCCAGAGCUCAGGGACGACCUCCGGUGGCCCUAGCCAUCCCUUCCAGUGCCCUGGCCCUGCAGGGGCCCCCAAGUGGGCUGCCCUGCCCUGCUCCCACCAAGCACUAGAGCCUGGUGAGGGUGAGGGUGGCCUCAAGAGACCGACUCUGACCUUGCUGGCUCACCCUGAGGAAGCCACCAGCGAGCUGCCCUAUGCAAGGGCCCACACGGCAAAGUGCAAGAACACACCCCCAC
This 1370-nucleotide long non-coding RNA is filed under the name Pan troglodytes (chimpanzee). RNAcentral's name for it is "long non-coding RNA NONPTRT004647". Lineage: Eukaryota; Metazoa; Chordata; Mammalia; Primates; Hominidae. The record is from RNAcentral.